Molecule: transfer RNA, 75 nt
Filed under: Candidatus Falkowbacteria bacterium RIFOXYB2_FULL_34_18
Lineage: Bacteria; Candidatus Falkowiibacteriota
Also listed under: 4 other names
Description: tRNA-His
Rfam family: tRNA
About the family: Transfer RNA (tRNA) molecules are approximately 80 nucleotides in length.
Source: RNAcentral
GUGGCUAUAGUUCAACGGUUAGAACGCCGGGUUGUGGUCCCGGUGAUGAGGGUUCGAUUCCCUCUAGCCACCCCA